AUGAAUAGCUUAUCUCUAAAGCCUUUAAUCAUCAACUUUUUCAUUUCUUCUUGUAGGUCCUACAAACCAUUUGAAAAGUUAGUAAAUAAUAUAAAACAGUUAUAUGUAGUUGAUACGCGAAGCAUUGGUCCUACCACUUGUAGGAAAGACAAGGAGAAAAAGAGGAGCAGGUCCCGAGAGCGGCACAGAAGCAAAUCCAAGGAGCGUCACAGAAGUAGAUCCAGAGAGAAAAUCGGAGUAAAUCUAAAGAUCGUCAUAGGAGUAAAUCAAAAGACCGCCACAGGAGUAAAUCUAAAGAUCGUCACAGGAGCAAAUCAAAAGAUCGACACAGGAGUCGUUCCAAGGACAGGCAUCAUGGCAAAUCCAAGCACCGAAGCCGGUCCAAGUCUCGAGAUCGCGGUCAUAAGAGGCAUCACAGUAGGUCGCGGAGCCGAGAUAAGAGUGAGCGCAGAGAGAGGCGAAAGAGAGCGCUUACGCCACUGGCACUACCAACCCGUAAAGAUCCACCGCCUAGGUAUAAGAAGUCACCGCCUUUUGCUGGAGUAA
RNAcentral lists this long non-coding RNA (546 nucleotides) under Bemisia tabaci. RNAcentral's name for it is "lncRNA ENSSSA1NGG008869". Lineage: Eukaryota; Metazoa; Arthropoda; Insecta; Hemiptera; Aleyrodidae. The record is from RNAcentral.